UAAUAUUAUAACUUGUUACCUUUUUAGAACUUAAUUUAUUAUAUUAUCCUUUUAUAGGAAAGAGAAAAAUAUGACAAAAAAAGGCAAAAAAUUAUUUUUGAUUUGCAACAAGAAAAGAACGAAAACAUAAAAAAACUGUUAGCAGGAUAUAAUGAAAAAAUUUUAAAUAUACAAAAUUAUUUUAGACUAAUCUUAGAUGAUCAAUUAGGAAUUAUUCACGCACUAGAGGAUGACAACCUUAUAAAAACUAAAAUAUUUUUUUCAAAAAAAAAGUACUUAGAAGAAUUAAAAAAAAGCAUAUUCACAGAUGGAAAAAAAUUAGAUAAUUUAGACAGAGAUGUGACGUUACUAAAAAAAGAUGUUACAUAUUAUGAAAAACUAAAAACUGAUUUAAAAAAAAUAAAAAAUAAAAGAAAAAAACAACAAAGCAUAUUAACAGAGUUAAAAUUAGAAACCGAUGUAAAAAAAAUGCUAUUUAUAAAAUUAUGUAAACAAUAUGAAGACAUCUAUAAUAAAAAUAAGAUGGAGUUGUAUAAUAAUAUACAACAAAUGUUAUUAGAAAAUCAUAUUUUAGAAACAAGAAUAAAGAUCCAAAAUAAAAAGUUUGAAAUAAAUAACUUAGAGCUGGAAAAGUGGAAAGAAUCACUUGAUAUAAAUCAAAACGAAGUCCUAAAUAAUUUUUUACAAAAUAAGUUUCAAAAUUUUGAAGUAUUAAAAAAAGAAGUUGAAGAUUUAAUAGAUGUACAACAAAAAAACAAAGAAAAUUAUGAAGCUAUACUACAUCUUAAUUAUGUGCCAAAUGAAGAUCUGGACAUUUUGAAAAGAGAAGAAAAUGUAUAUUAAAACAAAAUGGGGAAUCAAAAUAAAAAAGAAUAAACAAAGGAACA
This 887-nucleotide long non-coding RNA is filed under the name Piliocolobus tephrosceles (Ugandan red Colobus). RNAcentral describes it as "lncRNA (ENSPTEG00000006185.1)". The record is from RNAcentral. Lineage: Eukaryota; Metazoa; Chordata; Mammalia; Primates; Cercopithecidae.